Solenopsis invicta (red fire ant) is the source of this 1649-nucleotide long non-coding RNA. RefSeq lists it as uncharacterized. NCBI's taxonomy places the organism in Eukaryota, Metazoa, Arthropoda, Insecta, Hymenoptera, Formicidae. The transcript has 3 exons. The record is from RefSeq and is a predicted model, not a curated record.
AAAUUAAUAAAAAAAAGAAGUUAAUAAAUCUUAGUGUUAGAAUAUUUAUUUAAAAUAAAAUAAUACCGACUUUAACAAUUUCAGAAAUUAAAGAAUCUCCCAAUGGAUCAAAAAAUUAACUUGGAACUUUUGCACCAUAACCAAGAGAUACGAUCUGUGCGAUCACGAAAGAGUUUGGAAAAAGACUUAAAAAUAUUUCAAGCACAAACUGAUUUGAUUCAAGGAAGACAUGCUAUUGGCAAACAAAGAAAAUGACUCUAUGCAAUGCGAAAACUUUGAAAGGCAAAAGAGCUCUACUAAUAAAUAUAUAUCAAAGCCUCAAAUAAAAAUACGACAACGUUCCGACCAGGAAAUUGCAAACUGGAAAAACCGACGACAGCCUCUCAACUCAAUUGAAAAUUUUGAGCAAAACCCACGUACCUCAAAUAGACAUCGACGCAUGCCGCACAAAUUUCUCGAUAUAUAUUAAAAUAUGAACUAGAGUGAAAGGAAUUUACGUAGGACGCUUAUGUUCAAAGGCAAGUGAUCUUAUAAUGACAUACGUGCAUCGUUUGUACGUGUGAUAUUAGAAAUAACAUGACAGCAAAAAAUGCUCCUUUCAGUUUUUUCUUUUAUUUUCUUGUUAUAAAAAUUCAUACAUAUAUAUUUUCUGAAAAUUAAAGUAUAUACAAUAGAAAUGUACAAUAAAAAUGUACUUUAUAUGCUUUGUUGAUUGAUUAAGAAAGAUUUUUAUAAGUGAUAUAAGUGCAAUACAAAAAACUAGAAAUGAAAAUAUUGUCAGAAUUAAAAGUAAAUUAAGCAUUAAACGGGUAAAAUUGCACAAAUAAUACAAUUAAUAUUACAAUGCAAAGCGUUGAUCACUGACAUGUUAUAACACAUACAGUGUACUACAUCAUCGUAAACAGUAAUAUUGCUGUUUUGAGCUACUUUGUGAAAUAUAAUCUAAAUAAAUCUAUGUAGAGGAUGUAAUUACUUUGUAAUUUGAAAUUGAAAAUUAACUUUAAUUGAUGUAUUUGCAAUUUUAUAAAAAUAAACCGAUGGAAAGUACUAGUGAAUUGUACUUUUUUUAGUUACAGAUGCAAGUAAUAAAAGAAUCGCAUUUCGCAUAUUUGUGUAGGAUAUCCUGCUUAUAAAUGCCUAUUCUCUUUCCUCUCUUUAAUGAAAAGAGUAAAGGACUUUUUGGAAAUAUGUAUCAAAUUGUAAAUGGUUUUUAUAGAGAUAGAUAUUUAUAUAUCGGACAUGUUAUAUGUGUAUAUAACCCACGUGAUUACAAACUACAGAGUCGAAGUCAUGACCAUUACAAUUACAGAGUCAUAUCUACAUAAACAUUAGAUACAAGCAAUACAACAAUGUUAUUAACAUUGAAAACUUUCACCUAAUGUUUAUGUAUAAUUCACUCAUUUUCAUGCAGUUUGACAGGUGUAAAGUUAUGAGGUUAUGACCUCUAACAUUCAGCUUUUAAAAUUAUCAUACCGGCAUUAGAAUCAUGUUAAUACUUUUAUUUUAUUAUGAGAUACCUGUUUUGAACGUAAAUUGCUUGAAACUACACAUUGCAUUGACAGGAAAGCCAUGCAACAAUGACUUAAUGACAGAUCUGUCCGAGCAAUAUACAUUUUUCUUGAAUAAUGUGACAUACCCCUUCGAGGAUG